AUUAGUUUGGCAGAGUAGUGCAUUAAAUUUAGAAUUUAAUUAAAUUCAUUUAGAAUAACUAAUA
RNAcentral lists this transfer RNA (64 nucleotides) under Sycophila sp. 2 JXW-2020. RNAcentral's name for it is "tRNA-Leu". Lineage: Eukaryota; Metazoa; Arthropoda; Insecta; Hymenoptera; Eurytomidae. The record is from RNAcentral.